Callithrix jacchus (white-tufted-ear marmoset) is the source of this 950-nucleotide non-coding RNA. NCBI's taxonomy places the organism in Eukaryota, Metazoa, Chordata, Mammalia, Primates, Cebidae. The record is from RefSeq and is a predicted model, not a curated record.
GGAGGGGCGUUUAGGCAUAAUGGGCUCCUUCUGCUGGGUCGUCCCCCUAUUGGCCAGGGUUAGACCGCACAAUCUAGUCUAAUUCUGAUUGGCUGUUUUAAACGGAGCCGUUACCGGCUGAGGCGGCCGGGUGGGUAGUUUGGCGGGAAGGACGGUUAAGGGCAGUGUGAAACGGAGCACUUGCAGAGCCUGGGACCAACCUUCUUACUGAAGGGAAGAGGGACCAGCACACGAAGCUGAGGCUGAGGGGCCGUCACCAGCACCAGGACGAAGGUGGUAGGAGGAGUCCUAGGAGCCGGUUUUACACUCCCACAUAUCCUAAUCCCAUAUAGAGAACCGCAUUACGUUUAGUUGUCACGUCUCCUUGGAAUCUUCUUGGGUAUGACACUUUUUCAGACCUACCUUGUUUUUAAAAUGUAUUCUAAAUACCUUGUAUUCUAAAAUGUCUGAAGACCUUGACAGUUUUGAAGGAUGCCAGUUGGGUAUUUUGUGGAGUGUCCCUUAACUGAAAUUUGUCUGAUAUUUUUCUCAUGAUUAGACUGAGGUUAUGUGUUUUUUAGAGGAAGGCCACGGAAGCAGACUGCCAUGCUUAUCAUAUUAAGGCCGCACACUGCCAACAAGACUUCUUACUGUUGAGUUGAUCUUGGUCCCCUGGCUCCAGGUAGCGUUUCCCAGGCUGCUCCACUGUAAAAUUACUCUUUUUUCUUUUUCUCUUUUUAAUUUUUUGUAUGAACUAAUAUGUAGAAAUAUACUCUGGAGGAAGUCACAUGCAGCAGUCACACUUAAGGAUUAAGGAGCUCAGCUCCAUCUUCAGAAGGUGGGGUGCUAUAUAAAUUAUUUGGAAUUCUUUUGCACAGGAUAAAUAGGCAUUUUCUGCUCCUUAAAAAUCUUGUAUAUUUUUUCUAGUGAAACUACCAGAAUAUAUUUGUUUGUUUCUGUGUUUGUUUUAA